UUUGCCAUGGAGGAGAUCAACAGGGACACCCACCUGCUCCCCAGCCUCAGGCUGGGCUUCUCCAUCACCCAUGCAGUGGUGCAGCUGAUGCUUCACUUCCGAUGGUCUUGGGUGAGCGUCCUGGCGCAGGGGGACGACUUUGAGCUGCAGGGCAGGUCUCUGCUCGUCCAGGAGCUGGGCCAGGCUGGGGUCUGCAUUGAGUUCCAACUCCACAUCCCCAAGAGAUGUCUUCUGUGCCCAGAGGAGCAGUACUCAAGCCGCACCAGAGAUGGCUGCCUGCCCAGGACAGAGACCUUCCUGGCCUUUGACGACCCGCUGGGACUCACGCUCGCCUUGGUGGCGCUCAUGCUGGCCAGCCUGGCAGUGCUGGUCCUCAGACUGUUCUGAAGCACCGAGACACACCUGUGGUCAGGGCCAACAACAGAGCUCUCAGCUGCACGCUGCUCACCUCCCUGACCCUCUGUCCCUUGCCUUUCCUUGGUUGUCCCACAGCUGCCACCUGCCUCCUCUACCAGACCACAGUUGCUGUUGUGUUCACCAUGGCUGUCUCUUCCGUCCUGGCCUUCAGGGUCACCAGGUGACAGGGUCUGGGUGUGCCUGGGACCUGGCGCUUCCACCUCGGUGGUCCUUGCUGCUUCCUUGGUGCAGGUUGUUCUCUGUGGCAUCUGGCUGGGCACUUCCCCACCAUUCCCAGAUGGGGACAUGGCCUCAGAGCCCAGCCACAUUGUCAUCCAGUGCUGAGAGGGCUCUGCUGUCGCUUUCUCCUGUGUGCUGGGCUACCUGGGCCUCCUGGCUGGGGGCACCUUCUUUGUAGCCUUCCUGGCCAGGGGUCUGCCAGACGCCUUCAACAAGUCCAAGUUCCUCACCUUCAGCAUGCUGCUGUUCUGCAGCUUCUGGACAACCUUCCUGCCCCUGUACCACAGCGCACAGGGCAAGUCCACUGUGGCCGUGGAGAUCUUUUCCAUCCUGGCUUCCAUGGCAGGGCUGCUGGGUGGCAUCUUUGCCCCAAAUGUUACAUCAUCCUGCUAAAAGCCCGAGCGGAAU
This 1044-nucleotide small RNA is filed under the name Pan troglodytes (chimpanzee). RNAcentral describes it as "unitary pseudogene". The record is from RNAcentral. Lineage: Eukaryota; Metazoa; Chordata; Mammalia; Primates; Hominidae.